Microcebus murinus (gray mouse lemur) is the source of this 600-nucleotide long non-coding RNA. RefSeq lists it as uncharacterized. The record is from RefSeq and is a predicted model, not a curated record. Lineage: Eukaryota; Metazoa; Chordata; Mammalia; Primates; Cheirogaleidae.
GGUCAUUUGGGGGCGGGGCUUGGCAGGCAGAGUAUAAAUGGGGAGACUCCAGCUUGCUGAAACCAGACGGCCAAACUUCAUCAGUCAAGAGGAAUUUAAUCCAGAGAGGGUCCUUCUGAUCACUGGGUCAGAAGCAUCUGAAUUUCAGUCAUCAGUUGUGGUUCGGCCAUGCUAAUACUUACAAGUAUAAGAAUAUCAUAAUCCCAGAGUGAUAUAAAGACCUUUCCAAGGAAGAUGAGAUACCCAGAGGCUGUAAAGGAGAAGUCUGAAGGAUUUGACCACGUUAAAAUGAAAACCUUAGGUGCAGCAAAACACCAGAAACAAAUUCCAAAGAUAAAAUACACGCCGGAGAAGCCCAUUCUCUCAACACAUCUGACAGUUAACAAAGAGCUGCUCCAGUCCAGCUUAAAAUAUGAACACAAUGGUAGGAAAAUGGAUGUGCACAAUGUGUAGAGGCAACUCCAUAAGAAUAGGAAUGCCCAAUUAACCAACAAAAGGCUGUCCAAUCUUAAUGAAGUGUGAAGAUAAAAGCUUAGCAAAGGUUAAAAUUUAUUGAAGGUUAAAAUGGACACGAUAAAUAAAAACAUUGUUGGCAAAAGA